Pongo pygmaeus (Bornean orangutan) is the source of this 4949-nucleotide RNA transcript. It is a transcript of the gene named platelet activating factor acetylhydrolase 2, with no coding region annotated. The record is from RefSeq and is a predicted model, not a curated record. The transcript has 13 exons. NCBI's taxonomy places the organism in Eukaryota, Metazoa, Chordata, Mammalia, Primates, Hominidae.
UCCCCAUUCCUUCUUUCCGAUCCGCGAUUACCCUGGACUCGAAGUCAGCCGACCCGGUUCUAGGCCAGCUCUGCCUCUCACCCUCUGUGACCUUGGGCAAAUCAUACAACUCAGGGACUCAGUUUCUUCCUCUCUAAAACGGAGAUGGACUGUUGCUCCAUCAGUCUCAGCCAGCAAGUUCAGCUCCGGCAAGUCAUUUGAUUCACCCGGUGAUGAAAUGGGGGUCAACCAGUCUGUGGGCUUUCCACCUGUCACAGGACCCCACCUCGUAGGCUGUGGGGAUGUGAUGGAGGGUCAGAAUCUCCAGGGGAGCUUCUUUCGACUCUUCUACCCCUGCCAAAAGGCACAGGAGACCAUGGAGCAGCCCCUGUGGAUUCCCCGCUAUGAGUACUGCACUGGCCUGGCUGAGUACCUGCAGUUUAAUAAGCGCUGGGGGGGCUUGUUGUUCAACCUGGCUGUGGGAUCUUGUCGCCUGCCUGUUAGCUGGAAUGGCCCCUUUAAGACAAAGGACUCUGGAUACCCCUUGAUCAUCUUCUCCCAUGGCCUAGGAGCCUUCAGGACUUUGUAUUCAGCCUUCUGCAUGGAGCUGGCCUCACGUGGCUUUGUGGUUGCUGUGCCAGAGCACAGGGACCGGUCAGCGGCAACCACCUAUUUCUGCAAGCAGGCUCCAGAAGAGAACCAGCCCACCAAUGAAUCGCUGGAGGAGGAAUGGAUCCCUUUCCGUCGAGUGGAGGAAGGGGAGAAGGAAUUUCAUGUUCGGAAUCCCCAGGUGCAUCAGCGGGUAAGCGAGUGUUUACGGGUGUUGAAGAUCCUGCAAGAGGUCACUGCUGGGCAGACUGUCUUCAACAUCUUGCCUGGUGGCUUGGAUCUGAUGACUUUGAAGGGCAACAUUGACAUGAGCCGUGUGGCUGUGAUGGGACAUUCAUUUGGAGGGGCCACAGCUAUUCUGGCUUUGGCCAAGGAGACCCAGUUUCGGUGUGCGGUGGGUCUGGAUGCUUGGAUGUUUCCUCUGGAACGUGACUUUUACCCCAAGGCCCGAGGACCUGUGUUCUUUAUCAAUACUGAGAAAUUCCAGACAAUGGAGAGUGUCAAUUUGAUGAAGAAGAUAUGUGCCCAGCAUGAACAGUCUAGGAUCAUAACCGUUCUUGGUUCUGUUCAUCGGAGUCAAACUGACUUUGCUUUUGUGACUGGCAACUUGAUUGGUAAAUUCUUCUCCACUGAAACCCGUGGGAGCCUGGACCCUUAUGAAGGGCAGAAGGUUAUGGUACGGGCCAUGUUGGCCUUCCUGCAGAAGCACCUCGACCUGAAAGAAGACUAUAAUCAAUGGAACAACCUUAUUGAAGGCAUUGGACCGUCGCUCACCCCAGGGGCCCCCCACCAUCUGUCCAGCCUGUAGGCACAACUGGCCAUUUGUAAAGUCACUUCAGCCAAGUUUUCAUUUGGGAGCUACCCAAGGGCACCCAUGAGCUUCUAUCAGGAAGUGAUCAACGUGACCCCUUUUCACAGAUUGAAAGGUGUAAUCACACUGCUGCUUGGAUAACUGGGUACUUUGAUCUUAGAUUUGAUCUUAAAAUCACUUUGGGACUGGGAUCCCUUGCUGAUUGACAAGUAGACUUUCUGGGGCCUUGAUGGAGUGGGGAACAAGUAGUAGAGUGGGACUGGGGGAGACCCAGGCCCCGGGCUGAGCACUAUGAAGCCUGGAUAUGAAGACUCAGCCCAGCGAGCUCAUUCCCUCACCCCCAGCUACUGCUGCUGCUGCUGCUUCAGUGGAAGAGAUGAAACCAAAGGAUAGAGUGAAAAUCCCUACCUUCAGAGACUCUAGCCCGGCCCAACACCAUCUUUUCCUGCCUCUCAGCCUUCUCCCUCCCCAGGGCCACUUGUUGAAGUCUGAGCACUUUAUGUAAAUUUCUAGUAGAGCAAGAUGGAGAGCCAUCUGGAAUUGACUUCCUUCUGUCUUUCUUCUAUGUUCGCUUACUACUUGGGCCCAUGUGGGAAAAAAAACUUUAAAAGGAAGGAAGUCUUCUUAGGGAUCCAGUUCAAAGCUAUUUGAGGGCAUCAAACUGAAACUCUUCUCUUCACUACUCAAGACUUCGUGCCUCAGUCUAAGAUCCAGGCUGGUAGAGCUGCCAUUAUCAGGAAGUGUUGCUGUUCACCAUGGUGGAGCAGGAAGAAAGCCUGAUGAAUCACCUGCUAGCUCUGAGAGCUUCUGCCCGGGAGUGACUCUCGUUGUUUCUGUUCAUGUGUCAUAAGCCAAAGCACAUCCUAUGGCCAUUCCUAACAUCCCAUGCCAUCCCAAGAGAGCCAAAAUAUUUGUGACCAGGUCUCAUGUCAGAGAAGUGGUGCCCUCUGAUCUAGGAAGGUGCAGAAAGCUGUUUAACCUGCAUGGGGUUGCCACCUGUGCUGCGUUGCUGUUCAGAGUUGGUGUUGUCUCAUUUGUGGUCAGGCUGCAACCAUCGCUCUUCAGCGCACCAGCCCCUAGCAGCCCUCCCUGGCCACUUCAAGUUUAUGACUUUCGAUGUGCAAUGGACUGAUAAAUCAGCCACAUUAUUAAAAACUCUUGUCUAAGGGAAAACAAGACAGUCAGUGAGCGAGGGUUUUAGGGACUCUCUUGCAGCUAAAGUAUGUCACCUUUAGCGCAUGGGCUUCGUAAUCCUCUGACUGCUCCAGAAGGGGUAUCACGAGGCCUUUGGUCCCUUGUUCUGGUUUUUGGUUAGCUUCCAGGGGCCUGAAGGACACUUCAUAAAUGGCCUUUAGAUAAGCAAGGAAAUCCUGAUGGUAACUGACAUGUGCCGAUAAAUCGCAUCCUAGUGAAUCUUUUCCAGUAAGAGGAUGUCUUGGGUUUCUUUUUUUUUUUUUUUUUUUAGUAGAGACGGGGUUUCACCGUGUUAGCCGGGAUGGUCUCUCCUGACCUCAUAAUCCACCCGCCUUGGCCUCCUAAAGUGCUGGGAUUACAGGCGUGAGCCACCGUGCCCGGCCUGUCUUGGGUUUCUUUGGCAUCUUCUCAUUCCCCAUCCCACUGCAGGACUCUGUGCCUGUGGAGGCCUCCUAGUGGUAUAAUGUGAAGUUUCUGUGCAUGGGAUGGUAAAUAAAUAUCCCUUCCACUUCCUGGACUUGUCAGACUAAGGCUGGUUGGAUUCUUGCUGUGUCCCUAAUGCAGUCCCCGAGCCCCUUUCCACUGUGCAUUCUGACACAGCUCCCCAUCUUGUCCUUCCUCAAAAAUUCUACUGGGCUCUUGAAAUGUCAAAUGAUGGAUUCCAACUCCCUGUCUUGACUUUGUGGGGACCUUCAUCUACCCCCUUUUUUUCUGGAGCACCACUUAUCCCUAGGCUCACAAAGUGACAGAGGGACAGGAGAGGCCAUACUGUAUGUUUGGGACUCAUCCUCAUUAGGAAGCUUACUUUCUAUCCCAUCAUAGCCUGGUACAGAGGGCAGCUGUCCCUGGCCAUAGCUGCAGGGCACAGUGACAAUGAGGGUGCUGAGAAUGAUUGUCGCUGUGUGUCAGGACUGUGCUCUGGGCUGACAUGCAUCAUUUCACUUACUUCUCACGGUAAUCCCACCAGCUCAGGUGGCAUUGGCCUCAUUUUAUGUAGGAGGAAACAGAGGCUUCAAGAAGUGAUUUCAUCAGGCUCUCAGCAAGAAUUUGGCAAAGCUGGGACGUAGGCAUCAAAGUUUGAGGUUUUUUUUUUUUUUUUUUUGAGACGGAGUUUUGCUCUUGUUGCCCAGGCUGGAGUGCAAUGGCAUGAUCUCGGCCCACUGCAACCUCUGCCUUCUGGGUUCAAGCGAUUCUCCUGCCUCAGCCUCCAGAGUUGCUGGGAUUAUAGGCAUGUGCCACCAUGCCCAGCUAAUUUUUGUAUUUUUACUAGAGAUGGGGUUUCACCAUGUUGGUCAGGCUGGUCUCGAACUCUUGACCUCAGGGGAUCCACCCGCCUCGGCCUUCCAAAGUGCUGGGAUUACAGCCACGAGCCACCGCGCCCAGCCAAGGGUUUUUGCUUUGUUUUGUUUUGUUUUCUUGAGAUGGUCUCCUGUCACCCAGGCUGGAGUACAGUGGCGUGAUCACAGCUCACUGCAGCCUCGACCUCCUGGCCUUAAUCCAUCUGCCUGCCUCAGCCUCCUGAGUAGCUGGGACCGCAAGCGCACACCACCAUGCCCGGCUAAUAAAACCUGAGCUCUUAAUUACUGUGCUGUCAACCCUAAUAUACAUACUUGACUUUGCAGUUUCUCCCAUUUCUUCAGACUCUCAGGAUAUAGGGAAUGUAUUAAUCUCAUGAUUAAUUAACUAAAAAAUAUCAAAAUCUUCAGCAACUUCUACAUGACCUGUGUUGAGUUUCAGUGAUAUCCUCAGCAUUAUUGAGAAAUGGGUUGGGAGAGAAAAACGGCUUCGCCAGAAACUGGGUCAGGUACUUGGUUGAUGGGUGGGGUGUGGGGGGUUGUUUGUUUUUUGUUUGUUUUUGAGACAGUGUCACUCUGUUGCCCAGGCUGGAGUGCAGUGGCAUGAUCACUCCUCACUGUACCCUCAACCUCCCAGCCUUAAGCAAUCCUCCCACCUCGGCCUUCCAAGUAGCUGGGACUACAGGUACAUACCACCACACCUGGCUAAUUUUUUGUUUAUUUUUUGUAAAGACAGUGGUCUGUCUGUGUUGCCAGGGCUGGUCUCAAACUCCUGGGCUCCAAUGAUCCUCCUGCCUCAGCCUCCCAAAGGGCUGAGGUUACAGGUGUGAGCAGUUCAGGGACUAAGAACACAGUCUUUGAAAUCAGACAGCUCCAACACUAUUAGCCCUGUGACUUUAUGCUAACUCCUUCACUUCUAUGGCCUUUAAUGUUCUUAUUUGUGAAAUGGGGAUUCUAAUAGUAUUUAACUCAUAAGGUGGUUGUGAUAAUUAAAUGAAAUAAUGCAUGUAAAGCACUUAGCAUGGUGGCUAGAUUAAGGACUUAAUAAACAUUAGCUAUUA